Molecule: ribosomal RNA, 372 nt
Filed under: uncultured organism
Description: partial 16S ribosomal RNA
Rfam family: Bacterial small subunit ribosomal RNA
Source: RNAcentral
GAAGGGUGGCAAGCGUUGUUCGGAAUCACUGGGCUUAAAGCGCGCGUAGGCGGAAAUGUAAGUGUCUUGUGAAAUCCCUCGGCCUAACCGAGGAACUGCUCGGCAAACUACAUUUCUUGAGGCAAGUAGGGGUACAUGGAACUCUUGGUGGAGCGGUGGAAUGCGUAGAUAUCAAGAGGAACGCCAAAGGUGAAGACAGUGUACUGGGCUUGUCCUGACGCUGAGGUGCGAAAGCGUGGGGAGCGAACGGGAUUAGAUACCCCGGUAGUCCACGCCGUAAACGAUGUCUACUAGGUUGUGGGUGUUCUGACACACUCGCAGUCGGAGCAAAAGUGUUAAGUAGACCGCCUGGGGAGUACGGUCGCAAGGCUA